CCUACGGGAGGCAGCAGUGAGGAAUAUUGGUCAAUGGACGCAAGCCUGAACCAGCCAUGCCGCGUGCAGGAUGACGGCUCUAUGAGUUGUAAACUGCUUUUGUACGAGGGUAAACCCCGAUACGUGUAUCGGGUUGAAAGUACCGUACGAAUAAGGAUCGGCUAACUCCGUGCCAGCAGCCGCGGUAAUACGGAGGAUCCGAGCGUUAUCCGGAUUUAUUGGGUUUAAAGGGUGCGUAGGCGGUUUGAUAAGUGAGCGGUGAAAUGUCGGGGCUCAACCCCGGAACUGCAUCUAAUACUGGUGGACUAGAGAAUAGUGGAGGUAGGCGGAAUGUAUGGUGUAGCGGUGAAAUGCUUAGAGAUGAUACAGAACACCGAUUGCGAAGGCAGCUUGCUGAACUGUAACUGACGUUGAGGCACGAAAGCGUGGGUAGCAAACAGGAUUAGAUACCCGAGUAGUC
RNAcentral lists this ribosomal RNA (460 nucleotides) under uncultured bacterium. Its description in RNAcentral is "partial 16S ribosomal RNA". It matches the Rfam family "Bacterial small subunit ribosomal RNA", at positions 338 to 795 of the family's 1533-position model. The record is from RNAcentral.